GAUGAAGAACGCAGCAAAAUGCGAUAAGUAAUGUGAAUUGCAGAAUUCAGUGAAUCAUCGAAUCUUUGAACGCACAUUGCGCCCGCUGGUAUUCCGGCGGGCAUGCCUGUUCGUGCGUCAUUUCAACCCUCAAGCCCCCGGGUUUGGUGUUGGGGAUCGGCUCUGCCCUUCUGGGCGGUGCCGCCCCCGAAAUACAUUGGCGGUCUCGCUGCAGCCUCCAUUGCGUAGUAGCUAACACCUCGCAACUGGAACGCGGCGCGGCCAUGCCGUAAAACCCCAACUUCUGAAUGUUGACCUCGGAUCAGGUAGGAAUACCCGCUGAACUUAAGCAUAUCAAUAAGCGGAGGA
Molecule: unclassified non-coding RNA, 348 nt
Filed under: soil metagenome
Description: partial contains 5.8S ribosomal RNA, internal transcribed spacer 2, and large subunit ribosomal RNA
Rfam family: 5.8S ribosomal RNA (bases 1-120)
Source: RNAcentral